Molecule: small nuclear RNA, 104 nt
Filed under: Phascolarctos cinereus (koala)
Lineage: Eukaryota; Metazoa; Chordata; Mammalia; Diprotodontia; Phascolarctidae
Source: RNAcentral
GUACUUGCUGUGGCAGUACAUUUACUAAAACUGGAAUGAAACUGAGUUUAGCAAGGUCCCUGUGUGGGAAUGACAGGAAAGUUCAUAAGGCAUUUUGUAAUUUU